RNAcentral lists this ribosomal RNA (460 nucleotides) under uncultured bacterium. RNAcentral describes it as "partial 16S ribosomal RNA". It matches the Rfam family "Bacterial small subunit ribosomal RNA", at positions 338 to 795 of the family's 1533-position model. The record is from RNAcentral.
CCUACGGGUGGCAGCAGUGAGGAAUAUUGGUCAAUGGACGAGAGUCUGAACCAGCCAAGUAGCGUGAAGGAUGACUGCCCUAUGGGUUGUAAACUUCUUUUAUAUGGGAAUAAAAUGUUCCACGUGUGGGAUUUUGUAUGUACCAUAUGAAUAAGGAUCGGCUAACUCCGUGCCAGCAGCCGCGGUAAUACGGAGGAUCCGAGCGUUAUCCGGAUUUAUUGGGUUUAAAGGGAGCGUAGGUGGAGUGUUAAGUCAGUUGUGAAAGUUUGCGGAUCAACCGUAAAAUUGCAGUUGAAACUGGCAGUCUUGAGUACAGUAGAGGUGAGCGGAAUUCGUGGUGUAGCGGUGAAAUGCUUAGAUAUCACGAAGAACUCCGAUUGCGAAGGCAGUUCACUGGACUGCAACUGACACUGAGGCUCGAAAGUGUGGGUAUCAAACAGGAUUAGAUACCCUUGUAGUC